CAGUCGGAACCAGCUUGGAACGUAGAGGGAGUGGAGUUGAGAGGCUUCUCGCAGGAUUUCAGGAUGUGGGGACCGAAGCGGAGAAAACAUGACGGUGAACCAUGGCAGCAGUGCGACGUCUAUCCCAGGCAACAGCGGCGUCGACAUAUUUUGAAAAGAAUGAGAGAAGUGGAGAGUGCAGACUCGAUUAUGUUUCUAUGGCGACCUUCAGUUUGAGUGCGAGCGUUGGAGAAGCAGGGACAGCUUGUGGCAAUCGCCGACUUCUUCGGAAUGGACGCAGCAGCAGCAGGAACCGACUUUGAGCACGGAGGGAUGGAGUGGGGUUGUACUCGGUGAGGGAGUUGCUUUGCUUGAUCACAUUCGAGCGUGGAGAGAAGCGGCGGUGGGAGUUGGAUCUGGCUCCUCAAUCAAAUGACAGCAGCAACAACAUGAUUAUGGUCAACCAUCUGUUUCUCCAUAUUCUCAAAGUUAUCCUGUGCGGCAUUCGUCUCCUGUGGGAUAGCUACACUCGUCAAGAUUAUGCCGUGACUUUCUUCUUCUUCUUUUCUUUUUUUUUUUUUGUAGGAAUUGGUGAUUUUGCACGCAUCCAUUGAAAAGUCGUGGAGUUUUUUUUUCAUAUAGAAGUUUUAUGUUGCCCCAACUUCAACUAUUGUUCGAGUGCAUUCAACCGAGGAAUUUCGCUGAUACAAAUUGAUGGAGUGCAUUCAACCGAAGAAUUUUGCUGAUACAAAUUCGAGGGAUUUCUUCAUCUACUCAUCGGAGCUUCUCAAUAUGGAUUGGAUGAUGUUUACCUUGCACCUUUAGGUGGCUCUCAAUUGGCAUUUAUUCAGAUUCUGGGUGCGCUCGAAUCUGGGCCAUUGUGAGUCUUGCCUUUAAAGAUUGCUGGUUACAUCUUUCUCAUUGCGUGCUUCUAUGUGGACUAGAUGACUCAAUUCUUUAAUAGGUCUUGGGUGCGCUCGGACCUAGGAUUGCUCGAGUCUAGUUCCAAUGGAGUUGUUACUUUUGGCGAGCGCGUGCUUCCACUCCGCUACUACCGGUUCAAGGAGUUGUUACUUUUGGUGAGCGCUUGCUUCUACUCCAUUCCGAGGCGUCAUAAAGCUCAAAGCUCGAUACAUACGUUGGAAGCAAGGUGAAGCACUCCGCAUCGGCGCAUACUUUGGAAGCAAGGAGAAGCCCUCCAUAUCGAUGUAUACUUUGGAAGCAAGGUGAAGCACUCCGCAUCGGCGCAUACUUUGGAAGCAAGGCGAAGCCCUCCGCAUCGGCGCAUACUUUAGAAGCAAGGCAAUGCACUCCGCAUCGGCGCAUACUGUGGAAGCAAGGCGAAGCCCUCCGCAUCGGCGCAUAAGGCUCAAAGAUCAAGUUUAAGAAGAUCGAAGGCACAACUCUCGAGCUCAGAGACCAUCCAAGAAUCAACUUGAAGAUUGGAGAGAGCUCUUUCAAAGUGUGCUGAAGCUAGAUGUGGAGACGCGGAGUUUAAAUUUGAUCAAGAAAAAGCUUUGAAGGUUUGGACCCGUUUUGUCACUUGCCUCUUCACUUGUAUUAUUCCAUAACUUUCAAGCAACAUUCAUUGUUUCUUAUGAAUUAAUGUACCAUUUAACUUCAACAUCCAAGCAUAACAAUCAAUAUGCCAACCAUUCAUUUUACUCAUCAAAUUUGAAGGAUGAACAACUCCAAAUCAUGACUGAACUUAGAGAUAUCUAAGAGCAUCCACAAUGGUGGUGUCUUAGAGGGGUGUCUUAGGAGUGGGCCCCACCUAAGACACACCCCUCUCCAAUGCAUUGUGUCUUAGGUGGGUGCUUAAAUCCCCAUUUCCACAAAAUUCAUAUUUCUACACUUUUAUUUUUAAAUUUCUACUUUCAUUAAAAAAAUUAAACAUUACAAUAAUUUAAAGACAUAAUUUAAAUACAAUAAAAAAAAUAAAAAUUACACUAAUUUUCUAGGACUCAAUCGGACCAAAACGAGACCAAAUGUGCUCCUUCAAGUCCAAAGUGAGGCGAGCAUGCAUCUCCGCGUCUCGCAUGGAUGCUUGUCGUGCAAUAAAUGCACGAAAAUCCGGCGGAGCACCGACAUGAGGUUGAGAUGCGGCGCUACUCGAAGCUUCGUCGGCGUCUUCUUCCCACUGCGUUGCUUGCUCGCCUUCGUCUUCGAUGAUCAUGUUGUGCAAAAUGAUGCACGUGAACAUGAUGUCGCUCAACGCCUCCUUGCUCCAAAGACGCGCUGGGCCUUUGACGAUUGCCCAACGAGCUUGAAGGACGCCGAAGGCUCGUUCAAUAUCCUUGCGAGCCGCUUCCUGCAUCACUUUGAACCUCUUCCCCUUCGGAUCCGUCGGAUGUGUAGGACUCUUCACGAAUACAGGCCAAUUGGGAUAGAUGCCGUCAGUCAAGUAGUACCCACUUGUGUAGUAGGAGUUGUUGACUUCAUAUGUGACCGGCACCCCCAUUCCUUGCAGUCGAUCGUUGAACAACGUCGAGUUGUUGAGCACGUUGAUGUCGUUGUUCGAACCAGGAGUCCCAAAAAAAGCAUGCCAGAUCCAUAGAUCUUGCAAGGCAACGGCUUCGAGGAUGAUGGUCGGUUUCCCCUGAUCGCCGCGAGUGUAUGUGCCUUGCCAUGCCGUUGGACAAUUCUUCCACGCCCAAAGCAUGCAAUCAAGGCUCCCUAGCAUUCCCGAGAAGCCGUGCUUCGCUUCGUGCAUUGCUAUAAGCCGUUGGCAGUCAGCGAAAGUCGGCCUCCUCAAGUACUCCGCGCCGAAGAGUUGAAUAAUGGCACGACUGAAUCUCCGCAAGCACUCCAACGAUGUGGACUCUGCAAUCCGGAGAUACUCGUCGUAUUGGUCCGCUGCCCCACCGUUAGCUAGCAUACGAACAGCGACAGUGCAUUUUUGCAAUGGCGUGAAGCCGGGCCUUCCAGUUGCAUCCGUGCGUUGUUGGAAGUAUGGAUCGGAGGCGACGGCAUUAACGAUGCGCAAAAACAACGCACGACGCAUCCGAAAACGACGGCGAAAGAUGUUGUCGGGGUAGACCGGAUUUUCAUCAAAGUAAUCCGCGUGCAAACGUACAGCGCCGGCUUCACGGUCCCGACGAAUGAAAGCCUUCUUCCGCGCACCUCGUCGGCGACGACGAGGUUGCUCUUCUGGAUCACCAAUAUCUUGAACAAUUUGGUUAAAUUGUUGUACAAGAUUGGAAAAUUCUUCAGCACGUCGCUCGUCCUCGUGGCUUGAUGAGGAGGAAGACAUUUUUUUUAGAAAUUGUUUUGAUGUGGAGAUGUGAAAUGAAUGAAAAAGAGUGGUGAUAUAUAUAGAUAAAAGGGAAAUAAAAAAAAAGGAAAAAAUUGAAAUUCAGCCGUUGCCUCCAACGGUCCAUUUAAAAAAAAAAACAAAAAAAAACCAAAAUUUAAACGGUCAUUUUUUGAAAAAAUUAACGAAUUUAGAAUUUUUUUUAAAAAAACGGCGCGUCACACGCCUCCUCUUCAACCCGACGCUAGGCUUCGGCUCGGCCUCGCACUUGGCCGAUUCUCCAGCGCGCGGCCUCCUUUCUCGCCCCGGGUCGAUCCCUCCUUAGCACCGGCCGCUGCGGAUGCUCUAAGCUGCCUACGUACCCUUUUGAAGGGAUCAAGUCAAAACGUAGUUCAAGGAUCAAUUUAUAUUUUGAUGGGGGGGCGUCGUACACAGUUUAUACUCUUGCGGGCCAGGAGUGACUAUUUAUUUUACCACUAUAUAGACAAAGUGGAGCAUAUAAUAGUUUAACCACAUAAUUUACCUUUUGGUGGGAGAAGUUUAGCAGUUUAACCACAUACACUUUCUUUGGUGGGUGCCGUGCAUAGUUUAUACUCAUAUGGGCCAGGAGUAACGUGCAGUUUAGGCUCGUGCGUCAAGGAGCUGUCUUCUUUUUUUGUGUUUCAGGGAUAGUAGCGCUUCAAGAACUUCCCAUUUAUGGGCCCAACUCUCACAUUAUCUUCCGAGAGUAGCUUAUAUGCCCCGUUGGUGUAGACUUCUUUGACGACAUAUGGGCCAUCCCAUCUUGAUACAAAUUUGUUUCCAACACGAUGAUUGGUCAUGAUCGGCCUUCUUGCUGCAAGCACCAAAUCUCCAACUUGGAAAGAGCAUGGUCGUAUCUUCUUAUUGAAGACUUUUGAAAGGCGAGCUUGAUAACAUUCCAAUCUUUGCUGAGCUUCCAAUCUCUUUUCAUCCAAUGCUUCCAAUUCUUUGAGGUGCAGGCGUGCAUUCUCCUUUUCAACUAGUAUUUCUUCGCAAGAGGUGAUAUGGUUUGAUGUGGCAACAUCUUCAUCUUGCUGGCGAGGACCCUUGAAAUCAACACACAUCCUUAUUCUUCCAUUUCUCUGGUGUAUGAAGACCAUAUUCUCUGCAACGCUUGUUGUGAUAACCCAACUUCUAAUGAGACUUACAAUUUCUCGACGCACUUGACUUUGAGCAAUAUGAGGAACUGGAUUACUAGCACUAUUAGUAGUGUAGUAGGAUGAAGCCACGCUUUCUCUAUCUUCUUCGUCUUCGAGCAUCUUUGAGUCGGAAGAAGCUAUACUUUCUCUAUCUUCUUCAUCUUCGACCGUCUUUGUAAUGAUAACAGUCUUCAUUCUGGCUUUCAAUUCUCUCCCACAUGUCACAAGUAAAGUGGUACAUCUUUUCAUACGAGAAGGGAUCGAGCUCCUUAGCUUCUUUGUCAUGUGCAGUCCAUAACUCCCUUUUGUCUUGCCUCUUUUCCAUGAUUUGCCUUUGCCAAGUCUUUUAAAGACAGAUGCUCGUUGAACUUCUCUUGUACCUAUCCUUUUGAAAGCAGAAACUCUUUGAAUGCUUGAAUAUUUCUGGAUUUGUUGGGUGCUGGCAUAGUUACUAGUAGCUCUUUUAAUGGCAAUACGAAUGGGACUCUGCACUGCAUACCCCAAGCCUGCUUUGGGGUUUUGGUUCGUGUUACUGGUCUUUGACUUUGACAUAGAGCUUUCUUGAGGAUUGUAUCCAGCAUUCACAAGAAGUGUAUAUGCCUUCGGACCAAAGUACUUUGACAGUUCUUUGUCUGAGAGAUCCCCGUUCUCUGUGGUGCCAUUUUUCUUUGGUCGGACAAACUCUUGGAGAAUUGGCUUCUUGGCAUCAAUUUUCGUUAAAGGCAUUGUGAAUCCUUCCAUCUCCAAAAAUGAUUCUACCUUCUUCUUCUCAUGGCAAGAUCCUGACUCGUCAUGCGGUGUAUCAUCUUUUACCAUUGUGACUUUGGUUCUCUCCAAAUAAAAUUUUGCAUCAGCAAAGUGUGACUCUGCUUCCGUGAACGGCUUUUGAUCACCAACCACUUUUCUUACAACACCAUUUUGAUAAUACUUGAAGCAUUGAUGCAAUGUUGAAGGAAUAACACCAUUCUCAUGAAGCCAUGGUCGACCGAGAAGCAUGUUGUAGGAGGUCUUAGCGUCAAUACGUGAAGCACGUCGUCGAAUCCAUAUCCUGCAUUAGAACGCAGCCUUAUAGUGCCAAGAGCUCUCUGUCCUUCAUGGUUGAAACCUUGAUAUUAAUCGGCUAUUUGAUAGUUCGUCCACUUAAUCCCUAAUUGCUUCAAAGUCCUUAGUGGAAAAUAUUGACCGCCGAGCCUCCAUCGAUGAGAAUUCGAUUGACCUUCUGCUCCUGGGUGUAGCAACUCACGAAUAAUGGUCUGUUAUGAGGUUCAGAUCCAAGCUGCAAAUCUUCUCGAGAAUGUGAUUGCCAAGACAUCAUCAUCUUCAUUCUAUUUAGUUGAAUUUUCAUCUACUUGAUUGGAUGUAUCAUAAGAGCUCCAACACUUCUAUUAUGUCACUCAAGUCAUUGGUGGCGACAUUUGCAGUAGCACAAUCUUCUUCAAGGGUUAUCUUUCCUUCUCGAGCCAAUCGCAUGACUUUGUCUUUGAAGAUAAAGCAAUCAUGUAUGGGAUGUCCAACCAAUCGAUGGUAUUUGCAAUAUUUUGGGUCAUCCGUUCGUCCUGCUUCAUUUGGUCGCUUCAUUUCUGGCAAAUCGAUCAGUCCUUCUUUGAUCAAGUCAUCAAAAAUUCCUGAAACAUCAGAGUCUAAGAAUGGGUAUUGUUUUUGCUGCAUUUCCUUCAAAGUAAGCUUUCUUUGCCCCAUAUCUCGGGAAGAGUUUUGGUUGCCUUCCUGACUCGCUUCUUUCUUAGAAAUUUCACAGACGUUGCCUUCACUGCCAUAGAUUCUUUUGUGGUCUUUGCUUUGAAUUCUUGCUUGAAUUUCGAGGCUCUUGGAUUGGUGGCCCUUCGAUUCCGCUCCGCCAUACUCAAUUCCAUGUCAUGAGCUCUAGUGCAGUUCUUCAAUGUCUAGGUUGGAUUCCUCGCAAGAUGUAUUGCAAGCCCCAAUGCAUCCCUUGAAUACACAUCUCAAUAGCGGAUGAUUCAGAUAAUCGGUCUUUGCAGUUGAGGCAGAGGUUUCUCCAUCUAUUGAUAUAAUCAAUCACCGGCUCUUCCUUAAAUUGACGAGAACUUGUGAGUUCCACCAUGCUGACAGUUCUUCUGGUGCUGUAAAAACAGUUAAGGAACUCGUGCUCCAACUGUUCCCAACUAUCGAUCAUGUUCGACUCCAAAUCUGUAUACCAGUCAAAAGCGUUUUCCUUGAGUGAGCGAACAAAUUGCUUGACCAAAUGAUCACCGUAGGUGCCAGCAUUAUUGCACGUCUCAACAAAAUGAGCCACAUGUUGUCUAGGAUUGCCUUUUCCAUUGAAUUGUUGGAAUUUGGGAGGUUGAUAACCAAUAGGCAUCUUUAAUUGAUCAAUCCUUUUAGUAUAAGGUUUGGAGUAGAUCAUGGAUGACUUGGAGCUACCACUAGCCUUCAUAGUUCCUUCGAUGAAUUCUUUGAGUUGGUCGAUUUGAAUGAAACCAUCGGAAGAGACUUGGAUGUUCUUUGAAGACGUCUUUUCUUCAUGGUGUUUCUCGGACGACUCUGAAUCAUCGCUUUCUUCAUCUUUCUCAUCAUUCACUCGACUUCCUUCUCCUUUCUCUAAGAUGAGCUUUGAGAUCUUAGCGUCUUGCUCCAAUAUAUGCUUGUUCAUGUUUUCAACAAGCUUAGCUAGGCCAGCAAUUGAUCACUUAUUUAUAGCAACAAAUUACCGCAACUAACACGGUGCAAUUGUAGCACAAAUUGGUAACCAAGUAUCGUAUCCACAGGGACUGACACAACGAAACUACUUUGGCUAUUUCNGCACGAUGUCCAUCUUCAAUUCAAUGUAAGGCCAGGCGGAUGAAACUUGCGUAGGAAUGCAUGAGCCAAAUCUUCCCAUAUGAUAUUAUCUCCCAGCUGCAGCGUAUGAUACCACGACUUCGCCUUAUCCCGCAGUGAGAAGGGAAAAAGACAAAGACGGAUAAUGUCAUCGGGGACACCAUUCAUCUUCACCGUGUUACACAGCUCCAGGAAAUGUGCCAGGUGCACAUUAGGGUCUUCGAUCGCUUGUCCACCAUAUUGGCUCUGUUAGACCAUCGUGAUCAAACCCGUUUUCAGCUCAAAGUUGUUAACGUUCACUCGUGGUGGCUCCUGGUAAAUAUAUUGCGGAAUGAAUGCCUCAUUAAUUGGAGGCUUCUGAGCCUCUGUAGCCGUCUUUUCAUCAAGUAACUUCUUCACUUGCUCUUGCAGAGCUCGCAUUUGAAUUUACAUUUGUUCAGGAGUGGCCAUCGUAUCCUGCUCAGCUUGAUUCUUUUGCUUGGUGAUAUUGCGCAAAGUAGCGUUGAUUUUAGGAUCAAACUUAAAAAGAGGACUACCGUGAGAUCUUGUGUUCAUGCGAAACCUACAAAAUCACACUUUAAAAAUUAGAAAAAAUAAAAACAAAUAAAACCUGUAGUACUAUAAAGUCCUAUCAAAAAUAUUAAAGCAACUUCUUAACAGUCCCCGGCAACGGCGCCAAAAAGUUGAUCACUAUUUUAUUAGCAACAAAUUACCGCAACUAACACGGUGCAAUUGUAGCACAAAUUGGUAACCAAGUAUCGUAUCCACAGGGACUGACACAACGAAACUACUUUAGCUAUUUCCUAAACAGACUCUCACAGUAUGCAGGUAAACGAAAGCAGGAAGGUUUAAUUAACUUAUACUAAAACGCAAUUAACAAUAAUUAAAAAGACGUAGGAAAAUUCGAAUAUUAAAAGACAACUGAUCCUAGGGUAGUAAAUUCAUUAACUAAAUCCACAUAAUAAAUCUAUUAAUCCUAUGUACCAGUUUAAUCCAGUUAUGAUGAGAGAUCACUUAAUUAAUCAAUCACUCUCGCUAGAGCAGCAACGAUCGUAGAUUAGUAAAUUAUCUAUCUCCGUUAGGUCUCAAGAAAAUCUACUAACUCCCAAUAGCUCAUAAGAAUAGCUCCCUAUGAUCCACCUAUCUCCGCUAGGUCUCAAGGUUAAAAUCAUAUCAUACAUUCCUGAAUCCGCUAAACAGUUAUCUCCGCUAGGUCUCAAACCGAAUAGCUAAACAUGCAAACUAUUGAUCAGAUAAUUCACAAGAAAUUAAGCACCAGGAAUUAUGAAUCAUAAACUGGAAGGCACAAAGGUAUUAACAAAUAAAUCACAUAAAUUCAAUCAACUAUUUACAAACCCUAGAAUCAGCUAAAGGGAACUAGCCAGACAUGCUGAAAUAAAACAUAAACAUAAUUAAGAAGAAUGCAAUUAUAAAAACUAAAUUGUAUAAAAACCGAAUGAAAACGAUUGUAGCGGCUUGAAUCUUCAGUCUUGAUCCAAGCCUUUAAAACUAGAAAGCAAUAAAAUUCUGAAAGCUAGAAAACUGAAAAAUAAAGUCUGGGAACCCUGAAUAGGUGCAAAGAAGACCUAUAUAUAGUACCAGGGUAAACUACAGAGUUUGAGCUCGAAAAGACUUUGAAAAACGAAUAAAAACGCAAAAUAACGGACUGACGGCGACCCCGCGGCGGGCAGGCGGCGGUCGCCGCCUUCUUCACAAUUUUUCCACUGCGCGCGGCGGGCGCCGCCUGAUCGCCAGCCACGCCGAUUUCUCGGCGGGCUGAGCGGCGGUCGCCGGCUGGGUCGCCGAGUGCUGCCCAAAUUUCCUUCAUCAGCCGGCGGUCGCCGGCAGCUCCGUUUCUUCCUUUUUCUCGAGCUCUUCAAGCUCGUUUCGUCGAUUUUUGCAUCCGAAACACUAGUAACUUGAUAUUUGGAUCUUCAACAUCCAUAUGUAGCUUUCAAAACACUCAAACCUAAAGCAAAAUAACCAAAACCAUACCCAAAAGUAAUAUCACAAAAGAAUAUGAAACUUAAACCAAAUGAUAUCACAACCAAGCAUAAUUCUAGCACUUUGAACUCUUAAACACUCCUAAAAACAAUGCAAAAUGAGUGUUUAUCAAUGGCCCAAAAUAAUUAAUGGUCCAGACCCAUUUAAACACAAGCCCAAUCUUUUAAAAGGUAAAGGCCCAAGGAAUGGCCCAACCCUUCCUUAUCUCUCCCACUCGGUCUCUCUCUCUUCUCAAACAGACGCUCCCUUCGGUUCUCUCUCUCUCUCGAUCCGUCUCCAGCCGAGGUGCCCGCCGCCGCCGCUCCGCAAUCCGGCGAGGCGGCGCUUCGCCGCUUCUCCCUUGUCAACGUCAAUCUCCCCCUAAAUUCUCGGGCGAAUUCCUCCAUUUUCACUCCGAGCCCUAGCUUCUCCCAAAAUCAAAAAUCGCCGCCGCCGCCGCCUAUGGAAGAACGGCGAACGGUCGCUGGUCGUCGCCCUGCCUGACUCGGACGCUCCCUUCGCCCAUCCCCUUUUGGCUUCAAUCGUUCUUCUCUCCCUCGAAUCUAUUGAAGGAACGAAGAAGCCCUUAUUUCUGCCAGAGAAAAGAAUACCGCCUCCGCUGCAACUGGAAGGCCGGCUUCGCCGCGCCGCUGCACUCGCGGCGGCGGCCGCUGGUCGUCAGGCCGCCGGCUGCUCCCCCCUCUCCUCAUUUCCUUUCUUUCAAGGUCGAGGGAAAAGAAAAAUGGAAGAAACCCAAGUUCCUCAGUCAGAAAUCGUCUCCGCCGCCCUUGAAAUCUCCGGCGACAUUGUCACCUCAAGCCGGCGUCGCUCCGCCUGAAACUCCACUGCCGCGGUGCACC
Molecule: long non-coding RNA, 10031 nt
Filed under: Salvia miltiorrhiza (redroot sage)
Lineage: Eukaryota; Viridiplantae; Streptophyta; Magnoliopsida; Lamiales; Lamiaceae
Description: long non-coding RNA (SMIL_LNC007869)
Source: RNAcentral